Oncorhynchus nerka (sockeye salmon) is the source of this 972-nucleotide long non-coding RNA. RefSeq lists it as uncharacterized. NCBI's taxonomy places the organism in Eukaryota, Metazoa, Chordata, Actinopteri, Salmoniformes, Salmonidae. The record is from RefSeq and is a predicted model, not a curated record. The transcript has 4 exons.
GAGAAAUAUAUAUUAUAAAACAAAAUCUCAGUUUUAUGGACUGUACAAUAAACACAGUAUCACUAUCAGUUCUAUAGAUCUAAAUGUCCUACUGAUUCCUCUGGGCAUGUUGGUGGUGUUCUAGUCACAUGGAAGAUGUGGAGAAAGUAUAAGGACAAUAAGGUCUUGGACCAGACAACAAACACCUCAGUGCAGGACCCAUUUCCUGCCGAUGAUGUGAUGUACAGCACUGUUGUCUUCAAGAGGAGGAACCAGCUAAAUGUACAGACCAAGCAGAGGGCAGCAACACAGCAGUGACUGACUGAGUGAAGAUCUUGGUCCAAAAGAGCCCUCAUCCUGGAAGGAUAGCCCACUCCCCUCCUGUGUCACAACAUGAGUCAUGACCAUCUACCUGCCUCCAAUAUGCUUCUGCCCACACCUUCUAACCCACCUGUCUCCUUGUUGUGUCCAUAAACUACUGAAGACAGUCUGCUGUGCUUGUUUUGAUUAUCACCAUAUACACCUUAGUAUGUGGACACAUUCGGCUAUUUCAGCCACACCCGUUACUGACAGGUGUAUAACAUUGAGCACACAGCCAUGCAAUCUCAUUACACAAACAUUGGCAGUAGAAUCGCCCGACCUCACUAAUGGUUUUGUGGCUGAAUGGAAACAAGUACCCGCAGCAAUGUUCCAACAUCUAGGUGAAAGCCUUCCCAGAAGAGUGGAGGCUGUUUAUAGCAGCAGAGGGUGGACCAACUCCAUAUCAAUGCCCAUUAUUUUAGAAUGAGAUAUUUGACGAGCAGCUGUCCACAUACUUUAGGUCAUGUAGUGUAUCUGUUAUAUUAGUCAUGUCCCGCCCACCUACAGUACUCCAAUGCCCUUGUCACUUUUUAAUCUUAUUGAUAUCAUGUAUCUAGUCAAAUGUAACUGAUUAUGAUCAAAUAUGUAUAUUAAAUGAACAAGCUGUGUAACAAAAUAAAAGGCUAAUGCUGA